GAGAAGGGCUGCUUUCCUUGUCAGGUGCUGCUUGACCUUCAGGCUGAGGCCUCAGGGGCCCUGGAAAGGAACUGUGGCAUCUGCCAGGGCCCUUUUGCAUAGGGCCUUCUCUUUUGCAUUUUUCCCAGUCUUUGGAUGCCAUCCCCGUGACCUUUGCCCUGAGUGGGCUGCUCUGCAGUUAAUUACUUGAGUAUCUUGGUGAACAUGAGUUUUCACACCGUAGUCCUGAAGGUUAGCACUGGUUGCAGGCUGCUUAUGAACCUUGUUAACCCUUUCUUCUGGAAAUUUGCAAACAGCCAUUAGACUCCACCUGUGCUGGACAGAUUCUGAAUCUGAACAAAUAAGCAGUACCCUGGGGAAACAAGGUGCACAUGUCACGGCCAAGUGAAAUGUGUUUAUUGGCCAGUUAAUCAUUGUGGUUAAACAUUUGCCUAAGACUACAAGGCGGCAAAGACUUAGAUCCUAAGGAAGGAAAGAAUCAUGUUCACUUUUAGGUUCAGAAAGGCAGAACAGAGCACCUGAGGCCAGCUGUGACAUCAGAAAAGCCGGAGAGAGGGUGCCCUCAGGCACACGUCCAAGGUGGUGAGCCUGAGCUUCACCAUGGUGUGCCUGGGCCUUUCCCUAGAAAGGCUUCAGUACAGUAGCUGGGACAUGGACAUCCCACUGAGGCUCUGCAUCCCUGGGCAGCGUCUAGGGUACUGUCUCAUGCCCCAGGACAGUGCCAUAUCAUGAUCUGGCAUGGCCUGUGUGGGUGGACAGGCCUGGGAGGUGACACUGCAGAGUGAAGGGCUCCAGUUCUGGCUGUUGUGCUAGGUUGGCAGUCUCACUGGGCGAGCCCGCCCUAGUCUUGGUCUAAGUGGUGGUGAGGGCCUUCCGAAGCUCCUUGCUCCUCCUGCGAUCAAUGUCCUCCAUUUCCCGGAGUUUCUGCAAAGAGCCGCCAGGAAGAGCUGUGGUCAUGGCAGGAUGCCUGAGAUGCCACCUAUCCUUGAGGCCUGGGUUCCUCCCAUUUGACUCUACUCUUCCCCUCUUUGGUGGCCUCUCCUACCUGGGAGAUUUCAGCCAGGAUGAUUCCUCGGUAUUGCUUGCCCUGUCCCAGAGCCUCCAUGGCAGCCAAGAAUUCUUUCCUGUCCUGGAUUUCCUUCACCACUGCACAGAGGGGAGGGGCCAUCAUGUGCACAGGGCAGUGUGACUAGAGUGCACAGGGUCUCAGGCAGUGCAUGGUCUCUGAGGGAGACUGGGUGUCUAUCAAGCCAUGUUGCUCUUGUUAGCCCCAGCAGUUCUACACCACACACUACACAACACACACACACACACACACACACACACACUAGCUCACGUUCGUCAAACCGGUCCAGCUCAGGAGCUGGGUCUUCUUGCUGCACGUGGGGAACCUUUUUCCGUUCCUCCAUGUCCUUCCCAGUGGCAAAGAUAUUUUGGAGUCUUCGUUUCUCCUUCUCCAGAUCUCCUGUGGGGCCCAGAAAUGAUCUUGCUAAGUAAGGUACAGAGCAAGGCCUGCUCCCUUGUUCCCAUUAGCGGCUGUGUGCACUGUGGGUAUCUGGGUUGUGAGGAGUGGGCCUCUCCAGAUCCCGCUCUUCACUGUCUGUUCCUGAGCAGAACUUGUUAGGCUAGCAGUGGAAACAACCAAGAAAAGGCACCAGUGCAAAGCUAAUGGGUAACCCAGAAACCAGGCCUCUGAAAUGACCUGUGUGUAGGAACUGUGGGGAUGUUAGUGGGUCUGGGCCAAAGGCAAUGUUAGAGGAGGAGGGGCUCCCCAAUGUGGCCUCAAAUGCAGGCAGAUGAACUUGAGGGAACAGGAGGAUAAGCAGCUCACAGCCACAUGUCCCUCUGGGAUUGGGAAAACUGGAUUAAUUUGAAGGAAGUUCUAGGAAGAUAAAGGGGGCCACCUGCCUGGUUUCCUGCCAGAGUUUGUUACUAGCUCGUUUGAAUGAUACUGUGUGUCCUGGGCUGAUGUGACCCCAGAAGAGAGCUCUACGGUCACCACUUACUGGUGGCCUGAGGCUUGAAUUGCUCACGACUGUAUGCCCCAUUGGCUUGACACAAGCUGGCGGGCCUGAGGUGAGUGUGGGUAGCCAGGAUGGGAGGCAGGUAGAUGGCUGCAGCUGAUUUCUUGGAGGGAGAGCCCCUCUGGCUGGAUGUCGGGUUGCACUGCAGGGGUAGAGGGGCUCCUCCUGGGAAAAAAAAAGAGCAAGUGGGAGCACCUGUUUGGCUUGCUUUCAGAGAAAUAAGGUAGCUGCCAGAAGCCAAACAGUGUAGACAGUCUCCAAAUCCGUCCAGGCCCGCUCCUCUGAAAGCUAUAGUAACAAUUAGGUGGUUGCUCCUUGUUCUUGAAGCUUCUAAAACAUCCAAGGAUUGAUCGUUUGGUAUGUACACAUACGGUUCUUACACUGGAUCAUACCCUAUGGUCAGUAACAGAUCCUUUCACUUAGCAAUUUAUCACGGCCAGCUUCCUGUAAGCACAUGCACAGGUAACUUAUUUUUCAUAGCUGUGUACUAGUUGUAAAAACGUUACAUUAUUUAUUCAGCUAGUCCACUUCUGGACAUUCUGGUUGUCCCUGGUAUUUUGUUUCUUUUUUGUUGGCUGGAUUUUUACUACUUCUGACAAUGCUGCAAUAAACAUUCUUAUACACUGAA
RNAcentral lists this long non-coding RNA (2652 nucleotides) under Rattus norvegicus (Norway rat). RNAcentral describes it as "long non-coding RNA NONRATT026105". The record is from RNAcentral. Lineage: Eukaryota; Metazoa; Chordata; Mammalia; Rodentia; Muridae.